UUUCCGGUCCAGGGGGUUUGGCUCUCCGCGGCACGGGAUUUAGCGUUCGCGCUCCUUCCCUUCCCGUGGUGGAGCUGAGUCCUGACAUGGGGGCUGCAUCAAGAUCUUGUCAUUCCACAUCAUGGUUUCCUUUGAGGACGUGGCUGUACCCCUGUCCCAGGAGGAGUGGGACUGUCUGAUCCCUGCUCAGAGGGGCCUCUACAAGGAUGUGAUGAUGGAGACCUAUGGGAACCUAGUCUCACUAGGCUAUGAUUCUAGGAUUGAAAAAGAGGAACUGAUUCCAAAGCAGGACAUUUCCAAAGAAUUGGAAUCCCAGAGAGCAAAAUCAGAAGAUCAUGUAAGGAAUAUUUUUAAGGAAACUGAAGAGAUGAGUAAAACUGAGGGAAAGUUAGAGAAUUGCUGGAGAAAAUAUGCAGUAGAAGGAGUUAAGAACUCAUUCUCCCAGAAGCACAAUUUCAGAGAAAUUACCAUGAGGUAUGUGAAAACUCUCUAGAGAGAAUGGCCAGAAGUUCAAUACUGUUGGAGAAAACUGCAUCACAGACUCAAAUCCUGCCAAACAUCUUAAAGGGUCUAGAGAGGAGAGUCUCCAUCCAAGUGUGUCAAGUGUAGAAAACUUGCAACAACAUGAGGACCUCAUUAACCUCUGGAGUUUCCAAUUAGGAGAAAGAGCCUGUCAGACAGAUGUGUUAGUGAAAGUGCCCAGACAGAGUUCAGUUCUUAGUGAGAAUCAGAGGAUGAAUAAUCCAGAGAGACCGUUUGAGUGUACUGGGCAUGGAAAAACUUACAAUCAGAACAGAGCUUUUAACCAGCACCAGAGAAUUCUUAGUGGAGAGAAGCCCUAUGAGUGCAAUGAAUGUGGAAAAGCUUUCAAUCAGCCCUCUAUCCUCAGUAAACAUCAGAGAAUCCACACUGGUAAGAAACCCUACACAUGUGAGGAUUGUGGCAAAUCGUUCAGUGCUCACUCAUACUUUAUUCAGCAUUGUAAAAUUCACACUAGAGAAAAACCCUAUGAGUGUAUUAAAUGUGGGAAAGCUUUUAGUACACAUUCAUCUUAUGUUCAACACCUAAAAAUUCAUACAGGAGAGAAACCUCAUGAGUGUAAUCAGUGUGGGAAAGCCUUUAGUCAUAGCUCUAAUCUAAUUCAUCAUCAGAGAAUUCAUAGUGGAGAGAAACCUUACAAGUGCAAAGAAUGUGAGAAAGCCUUCAACAGACAAUCACACCUUAUUCAGCAUCAGAGAAUUCAUUCUGGAGAGAAACCUUAUGACUGUAAGGAGUGUGGCAAAGCCUUCAGUACACAAUUAUCUCUCAUUCAGCAUCAGAGAAUUCAUACAGGAGAAAAGCCCUACGAAUGUAAUGAAUGUGGAAAAUCCUUUAGCCUGAACUGAACUCUGACUGUCCAUCACAGAAUUCAUACUGGAGAGAAACCUUAUAGGUGUAAUGAAUGUGGGAAAUCCUUUAGUCAAUGUUCACAAGUUAUUCAACAUAAGAGAAUUCACACUGGAGAGAAACCUUAUAUCUGCAAUGAGUGUGGAAAAUCAUUUGGUGCUCGCCUAUCCCUUAUCCAGCAUCAGAGAAUUCACACUGGAGAGAAACCUUAUGGUUGUACUGUGUGUGGGAAAACCUUUAGUCAAAAGGGACAUCUUAUUCAGCAUCAGCGAAUUCACACAGGAGAGAAACCCUAUGAAUGUAGUGAGUGUGGAAAAGCUUUCAGCCAGAGUUUUAAUCUUAUUCACCAUCAAAGAACACACAAUGGUGAGAAGCCCUAUGAAUGUAAUGAAUGUGAUAAAGCCUUCAGUGUGCUUUCUUCCCUUGUUCAACAUCAAAGAAUACAUAACGGAGAGAAACCCUAUGAGUGUCACAAAUGUGGGAAGGCCUUUAGCCAGGGGUCACACCUUAUUCAGCAUCAGAGGAGUCACACUGAUGAGAAACCCUAUGAGUGUAAUGAGUGUGGGAAAACCUUUGGGCAGAUAUCCACCCUAAUUAAGCAUGAGAGAACACACAAUGGAGAGAAGCCCUAUGAGUGCAGUGACUGUGGGAAGGCCUUCAGCCAGAGUGCACACCUUAUCCACCAUCAAAGAAUUCACACUGGAGAGAAUCCCUAUGAGUGCAGUGACUGUGGGAAGGCCUUCAAUGUUCGUUCCUCUCUCAUUCAGCAUCACAGAAUUCAUACUGGUGAGAAACUUUAUGAAUGUAGUGACUGUGGCAAGGCAUUCAGUCAGCAUUCACAAUUUAUCCAACAUCAGAGAAUUCACACUGGAGAGAAACCCUACAUAUGCAAUGAGUGUGAGAAAUCCUUCAGUGCAUGCUUAUCCCUUAUCCAACACAAGAGAAUUCACACUGGAGAGAAACCCUAUGUAUGCACCAAAUGUGGAAAAUCCUUCCAACAAAGCUCUCACCUUAUUCGACAUCAGAGAAUUCACAGUGGGGAGCAACCUUAUACAUGUAAUCAAUGUAGAAAAACCUUCAGUCAGAGAAUAACUCUUAGUAGUCAUGAGAAAAUCCAUACAAUUCACAUUAGGGAGCAAGUCUAUGAAUGUAGUAAGUGUGGGGAACUCUAGCACACAGUCAUCUUUCAUUCAACAUUGUACAGUUCACAGUGAAGAGUAACUGAUUAGUCUAUAAAUUCUUCACAGUUAUACAUUAUAUGAGAGUCACACUGGUGAGAAAUGAGUCACUUUAUGGUUUUCCUUUUGGAGAUUCAACUCUUAAGGGAUUUCACUCUCCCAGUGAGCUGCUAACUAAAGGCAGGCUGCUGAAGUAUAUAGCAAUGAUCCCACAAUAGCACACCUUGCUUCAGAUUCAGGAUGAGCCCCCUUCUUGAGCCCUGUAUAUAUGUGAAACUUAAUUAUUUAGAUGCAUUUCAUAGCGCCAGACCUUAAGGUACAGUUAGGUAUUUCACUUGAGACCACUUGCUUUGCUUUGCUUUGCUUUUUUUUUUUUUUUUUGUAGAUUUAUUUCAGCUUCAAAGAAAGUAGUUGAGAUCCUUGCACUUCCAAGCGUGAUGGAACCAGGCUAGGGUUUUCUUUGUUUGUUUGGGCCUCUUCAAAACGUUUUUAUUCUGUUAUAAGGAAUACGGAACCUUAAGCUUCAAUUCACAGGGAAAAGAAACAUGAUUAUAAGCAAAAGUUUGUCAAGGAAUAAGGUGAGUCUUUGUGUAGAUUAAAAUAGUUGAGACCUUGCUAAAAAGUCAAAUAACACUGUAAUCCACCUCCAGGUUUCCAAGAGUUAAGAUGCUGCCAGCAAGGAGCUUGCAGUCUUGUAGCUGGCCCAAUAUAUCCCACUAAUUCAAAAUGGGAAAUUGUACAUUUUACUUAAACAGGAUUUGGUAGAUGGGUCUUCUAGAUAUGUUGUCAUGAAGAAAAAUCAGGAAAAUGUCCAAGGGUGGGAGCCUGUGGCUUAUGUCUUCACUUACCCAUCACAGAUAGCUAUGUUCCACUGCAAGAACAGAGUUCAUGUCUUUUCCUGAGGUGGCUGGAAAGCUUAAUCUCCUGAAGUUAAGUCAAAACUCAAAUGUCAACUCACCCAGCUCUCUUGCCUGCAGGCUGAUCCAGGGACUUAGAGCUUGUUACCCAGUUACAACUUCUUCUAGAGAAGAAAUUUUAAGAAGGAAGCAAAAAGAAAUUCAGUUUUCCCCAAGGAUCUCUUCUUUGAGGUUCCAUCAAGAGAUGACAAAAGGGGGCUGGGUGUGGUGUCUCACACCUGUAAUCCCAGUACUUUGGGAGGCUGAAGCAGGCAGAUCAUGAGGUCAAGAGAUCAAGACCAUCCUGACGAACAUAGUGAAACCCCAUUUCUACAAAAUUCAAAAAUUAGCUGGGCAUGGUGGCGCACUCCUGCAGUCCCAGCUACUUGGGAGGCUGAGGCAGGAGAAUCUCUUGAGCCCAGGAGGUGGAGGUAGCAGUGAGCCAAGAUUGCACCACUGCAUUCCAGCCUGGCCACAAAGCAAGACUCUGAAAAAAUAUAUAUAUGACAAAAGGGUUAGGAAGCUUUUUCUCUGAGGCCCAUGAUUACAGAACCAAAUCAGAAAAUAAUAAUUUUUUUGUUUUAAACCUACUUACAUAAAAUGGAGGUGUUUACUUAACUAAGAACCUCGGUAUUUACUCAAAUCCAGUUUUGAGUUUUAUGGCUAAAACAUUUCUCCAGAUUAACCUUAUCAGUUUGGAAUAUGUUUUUAUUUUCCAUUAAAUAUUUCAUCCAAAUUAUACUGAAUUUUAUUUAUCGUGGCCUUUAAAGUUCUCUACUCAAGUCAGAAAUUUCUGUUUCCUAACUACUUGGCUUGGUGAUGGCAUUAAUAUUGGUUGGGAGCUAGAUGGUCUCUGCUCUAUUUGAUGAUUGGCAUAGAGCAAUCACACACUUCGUACUUCCUAGCAUUUUUUUUUUUUUGAGACAGUGUCAUGCUGUGUUGCCCAGGGUGGUGGGCAGUGGUGCAGUCAUAGCUCACUGUAACCUUGAACUCCUGGGCUCAAGUGAUUCCCCUGCCUCAACUUCAUGAGUAGAAGGGACUGCAGGUGUGUACCACCACACUGGCCUCUCCUGGCUUCUUAAACAACUACAUUAAAAUUGAGAGGAGAAAGGCAUUUUCAGUUUCUUUAGUUAAUAAAAAGAAGCCAUUUCUGGAGGAGUUUUAUGCCUGUACCAGCAGAGUUUCAGCCUUCCAGAAAUCUCAUCAUGAUUCAUACUGCUGACACAGGGCUUUGUCACCUGAAACAUUCUUAAGGAGACUGACAUUAAACAGGACAAUUGUGAACUCCACUUUGUAAGCAUCAUACAUAUCUUACAAUUCAUUCUGAAGACUCCUUUAUUCUUGCUCUUCCCAGAGAGCUACUGUGUUUAGUCAUGCUCACUGUACUCACAAGAGAAAAGGAAUAAGUGGCAUAUUUGCAGGUGCUGAUGGUCACAAGAGCAUUUUUACUUUUUCCUCCAUGUCUGUUCUGUAGCAUUUCCAUUGAUGCAUGCUAUUGUAGACUUCUUAGGUUGACCUUGGCCUUGACCUCCACCACUAACUCUUGACCCAAAACUGAAGAUGUGCAUCAGAAAGGGACAGAUUUGGUCUUUCUGCUGUAAAAGAUAUUCUGCCUUAGUGCCUGCUAAUUUGUUGUGCAUAGUCCUGUGCUGCCAAUCCUCCCCACCAAUUGUUAAGGUUAAUUUGUGUUUUAUGUGUGUAUUCACAAACAUUAUAAUGUAAUCAGUGGAUUCCA
This 5195-nucleotide small RNA is filed under the name Pongo abelii (Sumatran orangutan). RNAcentral describes it as "processed transcript". The record is from RNAcentral. Lineage: Eukaryota; Metazoa; Chordata; Mammalia; Primates; Hominidae.